Molecule: ribosomal RNA, 253 nt
Filed under: uncultured bacterium
Lineage: Bacteria
Description: partial 16S ribosomal RNA
Rfam family: Bacterial small subunit ribosomal RNA
Source: RNAcentral
UACGUAGGGGGCUAGCGUUGUCCGGAAUCAUUGGGCGUAAAGCGCGUGUAGGCGGCUUUGCAAGUCGGGUGUGAAAGCCCUCGGCUCAACCGAGGAAGUGCGCCCGAAACUGCAGAGCUUGAGUACCGGAGAGGAUGGCGGAAUUCCCCAAGUAGAGGUGAAAUUCGUAGAUAUGGGGAGGAACACCGGUGGCGAAGGCGGCCAUCUGGACGGAUACUGACGCUGAGACGCGAAAGCGUGGGGAGCAAACAGG